This 158-nucleotide ribosomal RNA is filed under the name Willeya protrudens. RNAcentral describes it as "5.8S ribosomal RNA". It matches the Rfam family "5.8S ribosomal RNA". From Rfam's summary of the family: 5.8S ribosomal RNA (5.8S rRNA) is a component of the large subunit of the eukaryotic ribosome. It is transcribed by RNA polymerase I as part of the 45S precursor that also contains 18S and 28S rRNA. The record is from RNAcentral. Lineage: Eukaryota; Fungi; Ascomycota; Eurotiomycetes; Verrucariales; Verrucariaceae.
AAACUUUCAACAACGGAUCUCUUGGUUCCGGCAUCGAUGAAGAACGCAGCGAAAUGCGAGAAGUAAUGCGAAUUGCAGAAUUCCGUGAGUCAUCGAAUCUUUGAACGCACAUUGCGCCCCCUGGUAUUCCGGAGGGCAUGCCUGUUCGAGCGUCAUUA